UCUGUAUGCUCACAUACAGGCCGCCGGAAAUACUGCAGAGCUAGGGAGUGGGAGAGGUAGACGGUACUCGGGAGGAAGUGGUAAAAUGCUUUGAUCUCUCGAUGACCACCUGUGGCGAAGGCGGUCUACCAGAACACGUCCGACGGUGAGGGAUGAAAGCUGGGGGAGCAAACCGGAUUAGAUACCCGGGUAGUCCCAGCCGUAAACUAUGCAAACUCAGUGAUGCAUUGGCUUGUGGCCAAUGCAGUGUUGCAGGGAAGCCGUUAAGUUUGCCGCCUGGGAAGUACGUACGCAAGUAUGAAACUUAAAGGAAUUGGCGGGGGAGCACCACAAGGGGUGAAGCCUGCGGUUCAAUUGGAGUCAACGCCAGAAAUCUUACCCGGAGAGACAGCAGAAUGAAGGUCAAGCUGAAGACUUUACCAGACAAGCUGAGAGGUGGUGCAUGGCCGUCGCCAGCUCGUGCUGUGAGAUGUCCUGUUAAGUCAGGUAACGAGCGAGAUCCUUGCCUCUAGUUGCUACCAUUACUCUCAGGAGCAGUGGAGCGAAUUAGCGGGACUGCCGUAGUUAAUACGGAGGAAGGAGAGGGCCACGGCAGGUCAGUAUGCCCCGAAAAUCGU
Molecule: ribosomal RNA, 617 nt
Filed under: uncultured archaeon
Lineage: Archaea
Description: bacterial SSU rRNA
Rfam family: Archaeal small subunit ribosomal RNA
Source: RNAcentral